Molecule: long non-coding RNA, 363 nt
Filed under: Nicotiana benthamiana
Lineage: Eukaryota; Viridiplantae; Streptophyta; Magnoliopsida; Solanales; Solanaceae
Description: long non-coding RNA (NBEN_LNC040274)
Source: RNAcentral
AAUUGCAGGUAAUUGCAAUUUCUCUUCUUUUCUUGCUCUAUUCGGUUUUAGGCUUAAUGACCCACUUAAAAAAAUCUUAUCUUUUACCUUCCAAGAUCCUCAAUUUGCUUUGCCUUUUCGCUUUCGCUGAGGAAUUUUUGCUUUUUUACCUUCAACGUAAAGACCCAAGUGGAGUUGAGAAUCGUUACUAUGAUCUGCUGAGGAAUUUUUGCUUUUUUACCUUCAAAGAAAAGACCCAAGUGGAGUUGAGAAUCGUUACUAUGAUCUCUUGCUUGUGCCUAUUACUAUUUGUGCAUUUUGUUCAAUUCUUGAAUUAAAAAAUCUCAAAUUGAAAUAUGCUAAAUUGGGACGUGGGAUUGGGUU